Nothobranchius furzeri (turquoise killifish) is the source of this 2189-nucleotide non-coding RNA. Lineage: Eukaryota; Metazoa; Chordata; Actinopteri; Cyprinodontiformes; Nothobranchiidae. The record is from RefSeq and is a predicted model, not a curated record.
CGGUGUGUUUCACAUUUUAAGUGUCUAAGUGAGCAAAAAGGCUUAUAUUAUUCACUGGAGUUGCUAUUUAGAUAUUUAAUAAUUAAGUUUUGGGCAUAUUUGUCCACCCGUUCAGUUUUUCAAAUUAUCUAUUACAUCAGUAAUUUAUUUCGUCAGGAUAACUACCAAAUAUGGUAAUGGCCCUCGGCUAAACACAGAGCCAAUCCGCCAUUUUUUUCAUCUCGCUAAGAUUUUUUGUAGUCCUAUUGGAAAAAUGCAGAAUGUCUGGUUAUUUUAGCCACACACAGCUCAAAACUGUUCCUCGUUUUAAGGAAGGGUGGUGUGGCAGUAUUUAAACCCAGGAGCUGAUGACACUACUGCUAAAAAAAAACAGAAGAAAAAGUAGUGUGUGUGUGUGUUUGUGUGUGUGUGUGUGCGUGCGCGCGCGCGCGUGGUUCGUUCGUGUCUCCUGGCUAGUAAGUACCGAGGGCUUCAUCUAUCUAAAAGGAGUCAUUUCCAUCUGAAUGUGACAGCACCGGGACACAGCAGCAGAGCGGUAAGCUUCAUAUAACUCUAAAAUGUCGACAAACUUUACUUUAGGUUUACGGGCAUUAGCAGCACUAAAGCGUUAGCAUCCGGCUUGCUAUCGCUAGCACAGUAUGCUAGUAAAGUUAGCACCCAGAUUAAUGUGGAUUUGGCUGAUUUUUGUGGAAUAAAACGUGAUUUCUGAUCAACGCCUUCUUUUACACCAGAUGUACAUCCACUGAUUGUAGCAGCAGAGAGCCUGUGUGUUAUUUUACGUGAGUGUGAUGUAAUCUUAGCAUCCAGUAAAUAAAGUCCCAGUAAAUAAAGUCCCAUAUCAGCUAAAAUGCAGCGUGACAAAGUCAUUAAAGUGCGUCAACACAGUGGAUUUAAUAGAGUUUUAAAGAACAAUCUCUGAGUGAAGUGAGGUUAAUUUUUUGUCUCACUGCAGAUAUAAAAACGAACUCUGCAUCAGUCAGACGCAGCAAAGCUCACCGUCUGUAUGAGCGUGAGCAUCGGAAAGCUGAUCAAAUCAGCUGUAAAAUAAUUAAAACAAAGUAAAAAUGUUCCUUUGCUUUUUACAGUCCACAUCCAGAAGGCUGGAGCCGUGUUUCACUGACAGGCUGUCAGACUAAAGCCCUGAUGAGCUCAGCUGGGACAAACUGGUCUGAUGUUUAGGAACACAGAACGCUCAGAUGUUGGAGCUUCAUGUCACCUACUGAGGAAGGAGACCCACCAGUAAAGAGAUGGUCUGGACCAGACCAAAAAUAUGGCGAUGACAUCAUGGAACUGGUCUUUGGAAAAGUUUUCCCUGAACCAACUCCGUUUCUAGAUGAGGUAGAGAAGAUCUGCAUCUCACCAACUCUCUGGUCUCAGUAUUCAGACAACGGAGGUCUCCCACUGUUAUCCAGGACCAGUUUGAAGCCCACAUACUGCCCCUCCCUCAUCAUCAGGAAACAUCAGUUCCUAUCCUGAGGACAACAGAAGACGGCAGGAGGACAGGAACUCUGAGACCUAGACACAACCAGCACCGAGACACAAAGCACCUGUGUGCACAACGCCUGUUUAACUACUAAAACCUGUUUAUUAUAUUGUUCUACUUAUUUGCUGUGAGGUUAAUACUUAGAAAAUUUGUAUAUUAAUGUAAACAAUUUAAAAAAAUCACUGAUUGUAUGUUUUCUUUUAGAUGUAAUGGUCCAAACUCAGCCUUGUAGACAUUUAUUGCAUCCUGUAGGUAAAUACACAGAACAGGCUCAGAUCCAGGAUGACCCAGCAUGCUCUUCUUCCAUUCUGGCUGUUAGGGAUUGUAUCAAUAACUCAAUGCCUACUGAUGUUUCCACCUAACGGUAUUUAUUUAGAAUGCAGGUAAGAUUUAACUAUAUUUGUUAGCAAAGCAGACUGAUCUUGGGAAUUUCACUGCAGCACUGAUGUCCACCUCUGUGUACACAUUAGAGAGAAUUACCACGUUACAGCUAAAUGCAUAUUUAAUAAAGAUAUAGGCUACACAUUGCAGACAAUAAAAACAAAGUUCUAAGCAUUAGAAUUAUAAUGAUCACAUUAAAGAACAUUUGGAGGAAUGUUCUUUAUUUUUGACUAGAAUCUCAAAUCUUUAAAUUAAAAUGUAACUGCUUUUUAUCCAUUUUCAGCCAUUAAGACACCCAAUAUUAAAUAAGACUACUUAUAAAAUU